This 449-nucleotide ribosomal RNA is filed under the name uncultured bacterium. RNAcentral's name for it is "partial 16S ribosomal RNA". It matches the Rfam family "Bacterial small subunit ribosomal RNA", at positions 330 to 795 of the family's 1533-position model. The record is from RNAcentral.
UCCAGACUCCUACGGGAGGCAGCAGUGGGGGAUAUUGCACAAUGGGGGGAACCCUGAUGCAGCGACGCCGCGUGGGUGAAGGAGCGUUUCGGCGCGUAAAGCCCUAUCGGCAGGGAAGAAGGAGGACGGUACCUGACUAAGAAGCCCCGGCUAACUACGUGCCAGCAGCCGCGGUAAUACGUAGGGGGCAAGCGUUAUCCGGAUUUACUGGGUGUAAAGGGGGCGCAGACGGCAGCGCAAGCCAGGAGUGAAAGCCCGGGGCCCAACCCCGGGACUGCUCUUGGAACUGCGCGGCUGGAGUGCAGGAGGGGCAGGCGGAAUUCCUGGUGUAGCGGUGAAAUGCGUAGAUAUCAGGAGGAACACCGGUGGCGAAGGCGGCCUGCUGGACUGCGACUGACGUUGAGGCCCGAAAGCGUGGGGAGCAAACAGGAUUAGAUACCCCCGUAAUC